RNAcentral lists this ribosomal RNA (253 nucleotides) under uncultured bacterium. Its description in RNAcentral is "partial 16S ribosomal RNA". It matches the Rfam family "Bacterial small subunit ribosomal RNA", at positions 524 to 776 of the family's 1533-position model. The record is from RNAcentral.
UACGUAGGGUGCAAGCGUUAAUCGGAAUUACUGGGCGUAAAGCGUGCGCAGGCGGUUAUGCAAGACAGAGGUGAAAUCCCCGGGCUCAACCUGGGAACUGCCUUUGUGACUGCAUAGCUAGAGUACGGUAGGGGGGGAUGGAAUUCCGCGUGUAGCAGUGAAAUGCGUAGAUAUGCGGAGGAACACCGAUGGCGAAGGCAAUCCCCUGGACCUGUACUGACGCUCAUGCACGAAAGCGUGGGGAGCAAACAGG